UCUCCGUUGGUGAACCAGCGGAGGGAUCAUUACCAGAGUUUUACAACUCCCAACCCUUCUGUGAACCUGCCCAUAGUUGCUUCGGCGGACCCGCCCCAGAGUCCGGACGGGCCAGCGCCGUCCCGCGACCUGGACCCAGGCGGCCGCCUGGGACGACGCAACCCUGUAUCUGUUAGCCUUUCUGAAUCCGCCGCAAGGCAACACAAACGAAUCAAAACUUUCAACAACGGAUCUCUUGGUUCUG
RNAcentral lists this unclassified non-coding RNA (244 nucleotides) under plant metagenome. Its description in RNAcentral is "partial contains small subunit ribosomal RNA, internal transcribed spacer 1, and 5.8S ribosomal RNA". The record is from RNAcentral.